This 292-nucleotide ribosomal RNA is filed under the name uncultured bacterium. RNAcentral describes it as "partial 16S ribosomal RNA". It matches the Rfam family "Bacterial small subunit ribosomal RNA", at positions 505 to 796 of the family's 1533-position model. The record is from RNAcentral.
GUGUCAGCAGCCGCGGUAAUACGUAGGGGGCAAGCGUUGUCCGGAAUCAUUGGGCGUAAAGAGCGUGUAGGCGGCUCGGUAAGUCUGCUGUGAAAGUCCAGGGCUCAACCCUGGGAUGCCGGUGGAUACUGUCGAGCUCGAGUCCGGAAGAGGCGAGUGGAAUUCCUGGUGUAGCGGUGAAAUGCGCAGAUAUCAGGAGGAACACCGAUGGCGAAGGCAGCUCGCUGGGACGGUACUGACGCUGAGACGCGAAAGCGUGGGGAGCAAACAGGAUUAGAAACCCUGGUAGUCC